AAUCGGACUUAGUGAUCCGGUGGUUCUGCGUGGAAGGGCCAUCGCUCAACGGAUAAAAGCUACCCUGGGGAUAACAGGCUUAUCUCCCCCAAGAGUCCACAUCGACGGGGAGGUUUGGCACCUCGAUGUCGGCUCAUCACAUCCUGGGGCUGUAGUAGGUCCCAAGGGUUGGGCUGUUCGCCCAUUAAAGUGGUACGCGAGCUGGGUUCAGAACGUCGUGAGACAGUUCGGUCCCUAUCCGUCGCAGGCGUAGGAAAUUUGAGAAGACCUGUCCUUAGUACGAGAGGACCGGGAUGGACGUACCUCUGGUGUACCAGUUGUCCUGCCAAGGGCAUGGCUGGGUAGCUAUGUACGGAAUGGAUAAGCGCUGAAAGCAUCUAAGCGCGAAGCCAACUUCAAGAUAAGAUUUCCCACCGCAAGGGUAAGACCCCAGAAAGACUAUCUGGUUGAUAGGUCGAAGGUGUAAGUGCAGUAAUGUAUUUAGCUUAUCGAUACUAAUAGGUCGAGGACUUGACCAAU
RNAcentral lists this ribosomal RNA (519 nucleotides) under Clostridioides difficile. RNAcentral's name for it is "partial 23S ribosomal RNA". It matches the Rfam family "Bacterial large subunit ribosomal RNA", at positions 2404 to 2925 of the family's 2925-position model. The record is from RNAcentral. Lineage: Bacteria; Bacillati; Bacillota; Clostridia; Peptostreptococcales; Peptostreptococcaceae.